Molecule: ribosomal RNA, 438 nt
Filed under: uncultured bacterium
Lineage: Bacteria
Description: partial 16S ribosomal RNA
Rfam family: Bacterial small subunit ribosomal RNA
Source: RNAcentral
CUACGGGGCGCAGCAGUGAGGAAUAUUGCACAAUGGGGGGAACCCUGAUGCAGCAACGCCGCGUGGAGGAUGACGCAUUUCGGUGUGUAAACUCCUUUUAUAUGUCAAGAAAAUGACGGUAGCAUAUGAAUAAGCACCGGCUAACUCCGUGCCAGCAGCCGCGGUAAUACGGAGGGUGAAGCGUUACUCGGAAUCACUGGGCGUAAAGGACGCGUAGGCGGGUUGGAAAGUCAGGUGUGAAAUCCUACAGCUUAACUGUAGAACUGCACUUGAAACUUCUAAUCUAGAGUAUGGGAGGGGGAGAUGGAAUUAGUGGUGUAGGAGUAAAAUCCGUAGAUAUCACUAGGAAUACCUAAAGCGAAGGCGAUCUCCUGGAACAUUACUGACGCUAAGGCGUGAAAGCGUGGGGAGCAAACAGGAUUAGAUACCCCCGUAGUC